RNAcentral lists this ribosomal RNA (321 nucleotides) under Triticum aestivum (bread wheat). RNAcentral describes it as "partial small subunit ribosomal RNA". Lineage: Eukaryota; Viridiplantae; Streptophyta; Magnoliopsida; Poales; Poaceae. The record is from RNAcentral.
UCGGGGGUGUGGGUGUUCAAGAACGGGGUGGUCCGGCUGGUGGAGAACCCCGGGAGCGUCCUAACGUCGACGGGGAGAACCAACGAGGCGCUGCUGUACACUGUGAAGAACGAGGUGGUAGGUUCCUACGAGGCGCUCGAGUCGAAGCUCACGGCCCUGGGGUGGGAGCGUUACUACGAAGACCCGGCGCUGCUGCAGUUCCACAAGCGCGGCAGCCUCAACCUCAUCUCCCUCCGCCGGGACCUCUCCCACUUCGCCUCCGUCCACAUGUACGACAUCGUCAUCAAAAACAGAGGCUCCUUUCGCGUGGUCGAUGCCUAG